GAUGAACGCUGGCGGCGUGCCUAAUACAUGCAAGUCGAGCGAACAGACGAGGAGCUUGCUCCUCUGACGUUAGCGGCGGACGGGUGAGUAACACGUGGAUAACCUACCUAUAAGACUGGGAUAACUUCGGGAAACCGGUGCUACUACCGGCUAAUAUAUUGAACCGCAUGGUUCAAUAGUGAAAGACGGUUUUGCUGUCACUUAUAGAUGGAUCCGCGCCGCAUUAGCUAGUUGGUAAGGUAACGGCUUACCAAGGCGACGAUGCGUAGCCGACCUGAGAGGGUGAUCGGCCACACUGGAACUGAGACACGGUCCAGACUCCUACGGGAGGCAGCAGUAGGGAAUCUUCCGCAAUGGGCGAAAGCCUGACGGAGCAACGCCGCGUGAGUGAUGAAGGUCUUCGGAUCGUAAAACUCUGUUAUUAGGGAAGAACAAAUGUGUAAGUAACUAUGCACGUCUUGACGGUACCUAAUCAGAAAGCCACGGCUAACUACGUG
This 497-nucleotide ribosomal RNA is filed under the name uncultured bacterium. RNAcentral describes it as "partial 16S ribosomal RNA". It matches the Rfam family "Bacterial small subunit ribosomal RNA", at positions 28 to 507 of the family's 1533-position model. The record is from RNAcentral.